GAAGAAUCAGACAUCAAACAUCAGAAAGCUGCAGGCUCAUCUCAGCAGCUUUUGUAUUUUUAUCUUAGCAGGGAACUUGUCCAGCCUUAAACUUCUUUUUCCUGCCACUUUCCUGUCUGCUCAGGGGAGAUCAUUCAGAGAAGACUUCACAGCGUUUCCACUGCUCAGCCAUGCUACUGUUGCUCAUCUCAAUACUGGGGAUAUUUGCCCUGAGAGAUUCCAGAGGCCAGUCAGUGACCCAGCCUGAUGAUCCUGUUUUGGUCUCUGAAGGAACCUCAUUGGAGCUGAAGUGUAACUAUUCCUACGGUGCAACUCCCUAUCUCUUCUGGUAUGUCCAGCACCCCAGGCAAAGACCCCAGCUGCUCCUCAAGUACUUUUCAGGGAACACCGUGGUUCAAGGCAUUAGAGGCUUCGUGGCUGAAUUUAAAAGCAGUGAAUUUUCCUUCAACCUGAGGAAAUUCUUAGCCCAUUGGAGUGACUCGGCUGAGUACUUCUGUGCACUGAGUGACACAGUGCCUGGGACCGCAGGAGGAGUUGAACACAAACCACUCGCGGUGGUGGAGUUUUCAGACACUCAAGAUCGCUUCUUGUUUUAUUUUAAGCGAUCUUUUGCUAUGUGAUUGCAAAUGAGGCAAAGAGAGCUGAGCAGACAGAGGUGACUCACUGUCAUUGGUUAAACCACACACCCUGAAGGACUACAGGGGGCACUUUAUCUAGGAGAAGUUUUUAUUUGAAGUCUUUUUUUUGAUUCUGAACUCAAGCUGAGUUUGAAGAAAAAUAAGUCUUAUACCAAGGACUCCAAGCAGCUGGAAGACCAUAAUCCAACCUCCCAACCCUAACUCUGCCUGUGAAAUCAAAGUGGUCUUCCUCCCUCCCUGGGC
Molecule: non-coding RNA, 881 nt
Organism: Dama dama (fallow deer)
Lineage: Eukaryota; Metazoa; Chordata; Mammalia; Artiodactyla; Cervidae
Source: the annotation of a RefSeq genome assembly